Molecule: ribosomal RNA, 409 nt
Filed under: uncultured bacterium
Lineage: Bacteria
Description: bacterial SSU rRNA
Rfam family: Bacterial small subunit ribosomal RNA
Source: RNAcentral
CAGCCGCCGCGGUAAUUCGUAGGGGGCUAGCGUUGUUCGGAAUCACUGGGCGUAAAGGGAGUGUAGGCGGGGUUACAAGUCAGGAGUGUAAUCUACAGGCUUAACCUGUAGUUUGCUUCUGAUACUGUUUCUCUUGAGUAGUGGAGAGGGAGAUGGAAUUCCAGGUGUAGCGGUGGAAUGCGUAGAUAUCUGGAAGAACACCAGUAGCGAAGGCGGUCUCCUGGCCACAUACUGACGCUGAGGCUCGAAAGCGUGGGGAGCAAACAGGAUUAGAUACCCUGGUAGUCCACGCCGUAAACGAUGGACACUAGAUAUCGGGUGAUUCAGUUCAUUCGGUGUCGUAACUAACGCGAUAAGUGUCCCGCCUGGGGAGUACGCUCGCAAGGGUGAAACUCAAAGGAAUUGACGG